UAUACAGCUCACCUAUUACUGUUCCCAGGGGCGUGACCACACUCCGUUCUUAGAUUAUAGGGCUGCCCUUUCUCUGGUGUUCUUUCCAAAUAGCCACCACCGUGGCCUCAAAUGAGAACCUCACAUGCCCCACAGGCACUUGGACAGUGCUUGGAAGUGCUCGCUUCUGCUCUGUGGAAUGUUCUGGAAUCCUCUCCAGGGAGGUGGCCCAGGGAAAUGCAUCCAACAUCUUGUCUUCUCAUCCAAGCAGGACGGCACUUUCAUGUCCUUGUUACCAAGUGGGAUUAAGGACAGUCUCCUGGCCAGGCAUCUGCAAAUGUGUGGCCUCCUGGAAAGGUGGAUUUUUCUGUAUGCCACCCAGGGAUACAGUCCAUGAAGAAUAAAUUCCUCAUCCCAGCAGGAGCUAGAA
Molecule: long non-coding RNA, 409 nt
Organism: Mastomys coucha (southern multimammate mouse)
Lineage: Eukaryota; Metazoa; Chordata; Mammalia; Rodentia; Muridae
Exons: 2
Source: RefSeq, a predicted model, not a curated record